This is an RNA transcript of Papaver somniferum (opium poppy), 4187 nucleotides long. RefSeq lists it as uncharacterized. NCBI's taxonomy places the organism in Eukaryota, Viridiplantae, Streptophyta, Magnoliopsida, Ranunculales, Papaveraceae. The record is from RefSeq and is a predicted model, not a curated record. The transcript has 7 exons.
UCGGCCCUCGGGCCAUAAGGAACUAUCUGUUCCUCUCUCUAUACUCAUAGGGUUUUAGGAUUUCGUUUCUGCAACCAUCUUUUACUCUCCAAUGGAGAUUCUGAAACCUCAAUUCCAAUCUUUACCAAAACCCCUUUUUCCUUCUCCUCUCAGUUUCUCCUUCUCCACUUCAUUUCCAUUAAAAACUCAUGCCACAAACCCUAGAUUACUCCACCAAACCCCCUUUUGUUUCCGCAGCAAUCAGAGCUUAAAAAUCUCAUCAAAGUUAGGCAAAAGAAGGAAUUCGUUGAGGAAAAAGAUUUCUGAACAACAGCUAAAUCAAAAGGUGAGACCUUUAAAUGAUUCACAGAAUUUGAUUGAAGGGUUUUUCAAUUUGAAUGUUAGGUCUAAUGUAGAAAAGGUGAAACCUUUAAGUGAAACUGAGGUUUGGGGUGAUGGUUCAGGUCCAAUUUUUACUGUAUAUACUGAUUUGAAUGGAAAUAUUAAGAAUGUUUGUGUUAAUGAAGAUGAGAUUUUGAGGAGGAGUGGUGUUCAACCGUUAUCGGCUAGGAACGAUGAUGAUAAACUCGAUGAGGAUUUAGUAGAUGUGAAUUUGAAAAUGUCCCGUGCGCAAUGUGUAGCGAAAGAGAUUGAAAAUGGAGAGUAUGUGGUGCCUAAGGAUAGUGGUAUUGCUAAAUUUGUUGUUCAGGGUCAGUUUAGUGAAGGGAUUCGCGCAGUUAGUGCGCUGCCGAUUAAGUUGUUUCCGAAUGGUUUUGCAUUUCUUUUUGGUUGUUUGUUUUUAUAUUGGACUGUGAAGGUGUUUGGAUCCCGGAAUGAUGUGGUGAUGAGUGAGGAGGAGAAGGAGAUGUUGAGGAGGAAGAUGAAAGCAAGAAUUGAAAGAGAGGCGGAGGAGAAGAUGGCGAUAGGUAAUGUUGAAGUUGUUGCUGCAUGUGUUUCUGAACCGGUUAUUAUUGAGAGGCCGAAAUUGGAUAAGCAAGAGCUCAUGAACAAUAUUUUGAAAGCAAGGAGUGAUAAUAAGCCGGCCUUACUUGAAUCAGCUGGUGGGAAAUCUAGAGAAUUUGAUGAUAAAGUUAUGGAGAUAAAAGAAAUGGCUAGAAAAGCUCGAGAGGUUGAAAGGCAGGAAAAAUCCGGUGUUGAUGAAAAUGAUGAGGACGAGGAUGAGGAGUUGGCUAAUAAGGAAAGCAAGAAGAUAUCAGGUGAUGAACCAGGCUCACUUGAAUCAUCUGGUAGUGUUGCUGCGAAAUCCAGAGAUUUUGAUGAUAAAGUUACAGAGACAAAAGAAAUUGUUAGUGAAGCUAGAGAGGUUGAACGGCAGGAAAAAUUCGGUGUUGAUGAAAAUGAUGAUAAUGAGAAUGAGGAGUUGGCUAACCAGGAAGGCAAGAAGAUAUCAGAUGAUAAACCAGGCUUACUUGAUUCAUCUGGUAGUGUUGCUGCGAAAUCAAAAUUUGUCGAAUUUUUUGAAAAAAAACGAAUGGCUAGAAAGCAAGAGCAUGAGCGGCAGCAGGCAAUACAACAACAGCGGGAAAAAUCUCGAUUUUUUAUGAAUGAUAAGAAGGAGAAUGAGGAGUUAACUAAUGUGGAAGGUGAGAAGAUACUGAAAGAGGAGGAUUUAAGCUCUAGGGAAUCCACGGACAUCGAUGAAUUCACAGAGCAGGUGUCUGUCGAUGCAUCUCUGACGAUAAAUGCUGAAUUCAGUGGAGCAUUACCAGGAAAUGCUGUAGAAGAUGGUGAUUCUGGAACAACAACAGGUUCAAGUAUAAAAAAUCAUGAAGAUGCUUCUGAAAUUGUAUUGCCAACCACAAGUAACAGUGAAGGUACCUUAAACUUGGAGAAAACAAAUGAGGAACAUCAUCUUAGAGGCCCGGUAGCAAGUACUGAUGUAAUAGAAUCUCCAGCAGAUGAACAAUUGAACAAGGAGGAAAGCCAUAUACUGCUAAAUGAACCAGAAGUUGUGAAAUCCUCCAUAGUUUUGGAGUCCUUGGAUUCAACACCUGUUGUAAGUGCUAUUGAAGAUUCUACUCCACGGCACAUAGAUUCAAGCUCAAGUGAGGUGGAGGAUAAUGUCAAUAAGAAGUUAGAGAAUCCAACUCAUGGUGAUGCCAUCAAGGUUGUAGAUACUGAUGAUAGAGACAACUUCGAAAUGGGUGAUACUCGGUGGCCCGGCUCAUCCAAAGCAAAUACAGGCAGUUACCAGAGUUCAGUAGUUGCACAGCCUGUAGCCCAGGAGAGUUGGAUGGAGAAAAACUUUCAAGAGUUUGACCCUGUCCUUCAGAAGAUUCGAGCUGGUUUCAAAGAGAACUACAUGGUUGCAAGAGAGAAAGUGCAAGAAGAAUUAAAUUUAACUCCCGAGUUGAGUCAGUUGGGGUCUGAUGCAGAUGAUGGAGAACUUGAUUGGAUGAAAGACGACAGUCUUAGAGAAAUUGUGUUUCAAGUCCGUGAAAACGAAUUGAUGGGACGCGACCCGUUUUACAUGAUGGAUGCUGAUGAUAGGCGUGCAUUCUUCGAGGGUCUUGAGAAGAAGGUUGAGAAACAGAAUUCAGAACUGUCAAAAAUUCACGAGUACAUCCAUUCAAGGGUUGAAAAUCUGGAUUAUGGAGCAGAUGGAAUCAGCGUGCAUGAUCCACCGGAGAAAUUCAUACCUCGUUGGAAAGGUCCACCAGUUGACAAAAAUCCUGAGUUCCUCAAUAACUAUGUCCAAGAGAAUAAGGAGUUUUUGGCUGAAAGCAUGGGAAUGCCAUCAGCCAUGAAUAAAGAUACUCAAGACAUUCUUGAGAAAUCAACCAAGUCGCCAGCCAAGAAUGGUACAUCCUCAGCAGUUGACAAUCUAAGUAAGACACCUCAGAAGGGGACUUCCUUUAAUCCGAAGACUGUCAUAGAAAGCAGUGAUGGUUCUAGGAGACCUGGCAAAAAAUCAGGGAAAGAGUAUUGGCAGCAUACAAAGAGAUGGUCUCAAGGCUUUUUAGACUCUUACAACGCAGAGACUGAUCCUGAGGUUAAAGCUGUUAUGAAGGGCAUGGGAAAGGAUUUGGAUCGUUGGAUUACCGAGAAAGAAAUUAAGGAAACAGCUGAGUUAAUGACAAAAAUACCGGAAAAGAGAAGAAUAGCUAUAGAAAAGAAGCUCGACAAGCUUAAAAAAGAGAUGGAGUAUUUUGGACCACAAGCUGUAGUCAGUAAGUAUCGAGAAUAUGGAGAGGAAAAAGAAGAAGAUUAUCUCUGGUGGUUAGAUCUUCCAUAUGUGCUGUGCAUUGAACUAUAUAGAGAGGAGGAUGGCGCCCAGAAAGCGGGAUUUUAUACAUUGGAAAUGGCUGAAGAUCUCAAUUUGGAUCCUAAGCAACACCAUGUAAUUGCUUUUGAAGAUGCUAAAGAUUCAAAGAAUUUUUGCUACAUCAUACAGGCUCAUAUGGAAAUGCUUGGAAAUGGUACUGCUUUCGUUGUUGCAAGGCCUCCUAAGGAUGCAUUUAGGGACUCCAAAGCAAAUGGUUUCAGUGUGACUGUCAUCAGGAAAGGGGAGCUCUCCCUUAAUGUGGACCAACCCUUAGAAGAGGUUGAAGAACAAAUCAGUGAGAUUGGUAGCAAGAUGUAUCAUGAUAAGAUCAUGAGUGAACGUUCUGUGAAUAUACACUCGUUGAUGAAGGGUGUCUUCGGUUCCAGAAACCCCUCCCAGAGAAGAAGGGGAUCAAAGCGUAUGCUGGAAAAGCCAAAUGAGAGCUGAGUGGAACAAAUAUACAGUUUUGCACCAACAACAAGCAGGAGCUGCGAAGAGUUCCGUUACAGCAGUAAGUUAGUUUCUAUUUGUUUAUCAAAAUUUCAGGAUGCAAUCAGCAAGGAAGAGAAAACGCAAGGAAUACUUACAAUCAAUGGUAAGAAUGACAUCCAGAAGUACGUGUGCCAUCCUGCAUUAAUAACCAAAAGGGAAUUUAAAGAAUUUGUAUAUGCAAUGUAAUCUGAAGCUAGAGUUCGUAUUCAUCCACACACCUUCCACAUUCACCAGCAAGAAAAACACGAGAAAGAGCCAUAAGUACCAACUGCAUAUCAAGUGGAACUUCGAUGAUGAGGUUUCACGGAGGUGCAAGUUUUUGUAUUGUUUACAUGCUUUGAACAGUGCUCUGCAGCAGCACCACCACCAGUAGCCAGCAACCGCCUUCCAUUCCACACAGUUGAUGGAGAAACAGCUUCUCUAUAGUGAC